RNAcentral lists this ribosomal RNA (446 nucleotides) under uncultured bacterium. RNAcentral's name for it is "bacterial SSU rRNA". It matches the Rfam family "Bacterial small subunit ribosomal RNA", at positions 354 to 796 of the family's 1533-position model. The record is from RNAcentral.
GUAAGGAAUAUUGGUCAAUGGGCGGAAGCCUGAACCAGCCAUGCCGCGUGCGGGAAGAAGGCCCUCUGGGUUGUAAACCGCUUUUGUCAGGGAAGAAUGGAUGGGAUUUAUCCUGUUAGGGACGGUACCUGAAGAAUAAGCACCGGCUAACUCCGUGCCAGCAGCCGCGGUAAUACGGAGGGUGCAAGCGUUAUCCGGAAUCACUGGGUUUAAAGGGUACGUAGGCGGUUUUAUAAGUCAGGUGUGAAAUACCGCGGCCUAACUGCGGAACUGCACUUGAUACUGUAAAACUUGAGUAGGGUGGAGGUACACGGAAUGCAUCAUGUAGCGGUGAAAUGCUUAGAUAUGAUGUAGAACACCGAUAGCGAAGGCAGUGUGCCAUACCUUAACUGACGCUGAGGUACGAAAGCGUGGGGAGCGAACAGGAUUAGAAACCCUAGUAGUCC